Molecule: long non-coding RNA, 1384 nt
Organism: Pecten maximus
Lineage: Eukaryota; Metazoa; Mollusca; Bivalvia; Pectinida; Pectinidae
Exons: 2
Source: RefSeq, a predicted model, not a curated record
CAAUACAACCAUUUAAAGUGAAUUAAUGCAUGUAUAAUUGUGUUAAGAUAUAAAGCAAAUACAUUAGCACAUCAACAGAAUAUCCUUAUGGUAAAUGGAUAAUUAUGACUUAUUUGCCCAUCAAAAAACACAGAAAAUUAAAUUGCCAUGCCAACAGGUCAGUGACAUGCAAAUAAGGAAGAUCAGAGGUCACUUACAUAGGAUAGGUAGCAUAGGGACCUGACAUCAGUUUUAUGUAAAAAAAAAAAAAAAUGGAAAAUGAAACUGAUUUUACUUUUAAUAAAUGCAUCAUUCAAAGUUACAGUACUGGAACCAAAUAUCUAAUAGUGAUAUGUUACAAAAUCGCACAGCAAGUGUACAAAUAUACAAGUGAAUUAAGUAUAAAAAUAAAUAGCAUCUUAUUUCAGCAUAACAAUUUAACAUUCUCAAAACAGUUUGCAUAUACAUAACACAUAUUAUUUAACCAACACAAUAUUUCAUUGUGGUAUUUUUACACAAUAACUUGACAAACUUUGAAAUAUAUUGAUAAUUGAUAGUGAUACAGUAUGGACUGGAUAAGCUAAAUAAUCUUUUCUACAAAUUAUAUAUAAAAUUCUAUGCAUUCUCCCCUUGGUGUUCAAUCAUAUCUCCAAACUCUGCAUCAACAGUCUUAAAACACUCAUUCCGUUAGCAAUACUUCGUCAAUAACUUUUCAUUGAACAUCUCGUGUCCAAUGAAACUGAUCAGAAAUUCUGUUACUAAAUAUAAAAGUUCACAUUAAGAAAUACUGUCAUACCAUUUUAAAUUAUUUAGAUAAAUGUACUCUUUUUACAUAUACUGUAAUAUGCAUCUUGGGUAUCUAUUUCCUAAAUAUUGUCCACCUAGCAAUUGCAAGUCUAAACAGUUUUAACAUGUUUAGGUGCAUCAGGAGAAUAUCAAAAUACAUUAAGUGCUCUCACUUACAAGAGACUAAUUAUUAAACGUAUGACACCAAUAUCUAAAGGUUGGUAAUACCUAUUUUGAUUUCAGUAAAUACUUCUGAUUUCUUUGGUAAAGAUGAAACAGCCAUUGUACAUCGUGUUUAAGGAGCUUGUAAUAAACUAUAGGAUGCUGAAGUUACUGGAAUGUUAAAUAUAUGUGGUUAUAUUAGUCCUUGAUAACAUACGGAAUGUGACAGAGAAUUUCGUGACCAGGUUUCUUUAAAAAAUGUAGGCAUAUAUAGGUGAAGGGACAAAAAGGCACGUGUUUGUGACCAUACCAACUACACUAUUUUCUGAGAUCCAUCAUUUGUGUUUAUCGUUUAUCUAUACCCUCAUACUGUAUUUAUAUGCAGAACAGCCCAACCCAGCGAGCAACAUAAUACAGCUACAUGUACAAGUAAUGCAAAGCAGGGAUAAAUGUGUAA